Molecule: non-coding RNA, 256 nt
Organism: Pogona vitticeps (central bearded dragon)
Lineage: Eukaryota; Metazoa; Chordata; Lepidosauria; Squamata; Agamidae
Source: RefSeq, a predicted model, not a curated record
UUCCUCCUGAGCCAGAGUGUGGAUAAGAAAGAGGAAGAGGAGCCGUUGAUAGUUCAGGGUUCUUCAGAAUCUGUCCCUGGCUCCCCUCUGGCAGUGGACUCUCCUUUGUCCCUCAAGCAGAGGCCAUUGCUCCCGAGGAACAGGCUGGAGGGGAUCGGAGGAGCCGUGUCACAGGGCAUUGAAAAUAUGCAGGGAGCCUCUCCCUCAUCUCACCUUUGCGGAGGAAUGGAAGCUGUGCCUGUGCAGCCAGAACAGG